RNAcentral lists this transfer RNA (72 nucleotides) under Ornithorhynchus anatinus (platypus). It matches the Rfam family "tRNA". From Rfam's summary of the family: Transfer RNA (tRNA) molecules are approximately 80 nucleotides in length. Their secondary structure includes four short double-helical elements and three loops (D, anti-codon, and T loops). Lineage: Eukaryota; Metazoa; Chordata; Mammalia; Monotremata; Ornithorhynchidae. The record is from Rfam by way of RNAcentral.
AGCAGUGUGGCCUAGUGGAAGGAGUCUGGACCUGGGAGUCAGAGGUCAUGGGUUCAAAUCCCACCUCUGCCA